This is a non-coding RNA of Trichonephila inaurata madagascariensis, 73 nucleotides long. Lineage: Eukaryota; Metazoa; Arthropoda; Arachnida; Araneae; Nephilidae. The record is from the annotation of a GenBank genome assembly.
GUCUCGGUAGCUUAAUGGAUAACGCGGUGGACUUCAAAUCCAAACGUCGUGGGUUCGAAUCCCACCUGGGAUG